UCGUCGAUCUCUUCCAUCUCGAUCCACCCUUCCCAAAAUACCUCUCGAUCCAAUCGUCCUCUCCACUCUCCGCUCGCCGCCGCCGUGCUGCUGCACGUUCUCACCCUGCCGCCGCCGCCCUGCCCUGGCGCACAGCACGCGUGCUUGAUCACACCGAUGUUGGCCGCUCCACUCGCCACUACGUUGUAGCCCUCGCUUCCUGCACGCACCACCAAGCAUCCAUCACGGCUGGGAUCUGAUGGCUGGCAGGCGAGGCACCGGAGGCGAACAGCCCAGGCCUCAGGAGUGCGGAGGCGAGGUCGGGUGGUGGCUCGGCGAACUACGGCAAGGGGCGUCAAGGUGCAGGCUUGGCCGAAGGAGGUGGGCCCAGAUAUUCGGGGGGACAAGGAGGAUGAGAGGGAACCUCCUGCAGUGGAUGACGAAGAAGGGGAGUAGUACCCCUCCUCAGCGGACCAAGAUGACCUACCAUGCCGGAGGCAAAGUGUUCAGCGGCAACGGAUUUGAAGGUGGUGGCAGUAGCAGAUCGGCGUGAGCAUCCUGCUCUCUCUCUCUCUCUCUCUCUCUCUCUCUCUCUCUCUCAUCCUGCUCUCUCUCUCUCUCUCUCUCCGCAUUGAUAUUUGUUUUGUGGCGUGGGAGCUUCAAGACGGCCAUGCGUACGAAUCUCAAGAUAGGCAGCAGCAUACGGCCAGCCGGCGGCAUCACAGUAGCUCGGCUCUGUUACAACGAGAGGAUGAGAAGGGAAGGAAUUCCGCACUACGCACGCCACCGUAUACUACCAGACACACUCAAAGAAUGUGUCCAAUUAACCUUGGAUGCCGGAGUGUCCAUCAGGGGAGGGAAGUUCGCGAGGUGCUGAAGCACAGCGCAAGGGAACCAUCUCCAUGGCCAACUCCGGCACCAAAGCGAUACACUUUUUUUGGCUGGUUGUUGGUGAUUGCUCCCAUGUCUCUGUUGUUUUCUUGCUCUUUACAAAAUUUAGUUCUAUAAUAUCAUCAUUCAGUUACCUGAAUUUUAUCUACCUGCAAGAACAUGAUAUGAGUUGCUAUUCCCUGUUCUCUAAGGUAAUGCAUCAAUUUGCUGCUUAGUUAGGAAGAGGAGGAGGAGUACGGUGGGCUCGACCUGCUGGUGGUGGACGUCGGGAUUGACGAGAUGCACAGUUCCUAUGGUGGCUGCCGGGCUAAUAGGAUUUGUAGGAGGAGGAGGACGGGUGGGAGAGACCUGCUGCUAGAGGACGAGGGUCGAUGAGAUGCACGAUUCCUAUGCUUCUCUUGAGACAGCCAUGAUGGGAACACGAUUCAUAUGCUUUAGGUAUCUAUUUCAACUGAUCCAUGGUUAGAGUUGUACACUGUAUGGGCUAACUUCUUCAAAUUCGGCUUUUUUUUCUUCUGAAGUGAUGAGAGAUCUUAGUUAUAUAGGAGUAAAUGCGCCUUUUGGCGAGUACAAUUUAAAGCUUUAUUCUUUGCUGAUCAUAUAGACUAUUUAAUACAGAAACUUACUGUCUUCUAAAAACAAUAUAAGCCCAUUAUUCUUCGCAGAAAAAAGAGAGCAGACUGCAGGUUGUAUAGCCAUGUAUAUCAGUAUUCUAUAUGUAAUUGCUAUAUUAACAAACUGUUCAUCACAUUAGGUUGUCAUUACAUUUCAGAUGUUCUUUUACAAUAAUUUUGUUUCAAUUUUAAGGUAGGUAUUCGUAUUUGUUAUGAUUAUUAUUUAUUUCCUUCUUUACCAGCUUACUGUUGGAUUGUUGGUUGUAUAGCCCAUGAUUUCCAUCUUUCUUGGUUCCUAGUAGGAGUUGAUUGAAAGGCUUCUAAUAUGUGAUAUUCACUCACAAUUUGCAUGAAGGAAUGCCCACAUCAGCUAUAUAUCAAGAGGAUCUGGGUAAUUCAUGUUAUCUUUAAUUUCAUUGAUACUUCAGUAAUAGUAUGGAAUAGUACUAUGCAAUCCAAUUCUUUCUCCAGGAGCCAAUAGCCUAGUUCUUACAUUUUCUAUUUUUGUAGAUGUCCUACUAUCAGUUCUAUUGUGUAUAAAUGCUUCGGUCUAUGAUUUUUGUUGCGGAUUGUUGUUUGCAGGCAAUAUCUGAAAACCUGAAAUUAUUGAACAUGCAGGCAUGAGUUCUGUUUACAUAUUUUUAAGAAAUUUGGAACAUGUACUCUUAAUAUUAUAUUAUAAUUUCUGCGAUCGCAAUUAAGGUAUACACCCACCACACGCACAAGACACACCACAAGUCACCGCCUUGACCGAUGUAUCAAUAAGACAUGUAUUGAACGAUGAAGACCCGGGAUGAAUCUGCCUCUUGAAAUUAUCCGAUCUUGCACAACGGCCAUGUAUCUAUUCGGAUAAACCAUGUCAAUAGUGCACAUUUUAUGCCUAUUGAUAUUUAUUUGUUUCCCGGUGUGCGACUUUUUUAGAUGCACUGCAAUGAAGUAGAGAAUCAUGCUGUGGCAGUGACAGUUGAUGAUUUCGGAUGGAAUUUGCUACUUGAAAGUGUGACAUCCAGGUUGGGUUCAUUACUCGUGGUGGCAAAAAAGAUGACACCCUCCUUAUAUCUCCAAGGGUAGGAAGGGACAGUUUGCACAUGGAAGAGGGUGAUGUAGGGCAAUUACUGUAAAGGAAGGAAUGGGAAAAAGAAUAGGUGCUUAUCGUCGAAAACUAGACUUGCAUGUACCGAUCUUAUAUGAAUAAGCAUGUAUCCAGCUUAUAUUGAUAUUUUCAUAGUAGCGGAGACAUAAAUCACAAGUGACAUGUUAAACUCAAAUAAUAUUUUUAUUAGUA
Triticum dicoccoides is the source of this 2769-nucleotide long non-coding RNA. RefSeq lists it as uncharacterized. The record is from RefSeq and is a predicted model, not a curated record. Lineage: Eukaryota; Viridiplantae; Streptophyta; Magnoliopsida; Poales; Poaceae. The transcript is spliced from 2 exons.